Molecule: long non-coding RNA, 817 nt
Filed under: Sorghum bicolor (sorghum)
Lineage: Eukaryota; Viridiplantae; Streptophyta; Magnoliopsida; Poales; Poaceae
Description: long non-coding RNA (SBIC_LNC012390)
Source: RNAcentral
UGGGCUUGGUGUCAAACAGGUGACUGUUAUCGGCAGUGGAUAUGUCUAAGCCGGUGAGCAUAAGUACAUCAGCAAGAGUGGGUGAAGCAGGGCCAUGGCUGAAUACAAAAGCAUUGAGCGUGUCUGACCAAAAAUAUGAGGCAGCUAUCAGCAGUGACUCAUUUCUCUCCAUAUCGGCAAGAGAUAAUCUGAUGCACUGGUCUAGUUUCCGCUCACCCCACUAGACUUUAUUUGAAUGGCUGACUCUCAGGAACCAGUCUUUCCAUCCCUUGGUGGGACUGGGCCAGGAACGAAAGGCAUCUUUCCAUAGAUCUAAGGAAAAGUUUUCGGCUCUGAAGGGGAUUCUAUUUGUCUCUGCAUUUAUUAGAUCGGUGGCAUCUGGAUUUCCUAACGGGCUGAGACAUUGGAAGUGGGGUUGAUCGGUAGGAAUUACAAUCUUCUCGGCCAAAUCCUAAAAGUUUUGAGGAUGAAAGAACAAAAAGAAAAAAAGGGGUACUCAGUAAAAGGACUCGUAUAUGAAUAGGAGUACAGCAAAAGUGCGAAAAGAAAAAAGAUGGUAAACUGACCUCAGGAACGACGAAGUUGAUGGCCAUUUCUUCGUGAGGAAGAGGAUCAAAGACUUGGAGGAUUGGUGAAGGAGACUCUUGCUAAAGUUCUUGGAGUUCUCGGGCAAUGCCGCCGCUAGGAAAGUGGAUUUUAGGCUGUAGAAUGAUAAGAUAGAGGAGGAGUACCAGAGAAGGAAGUAUUUAUAGGACAAAACGGGCAGAGGCAAAUCUGACUUAUCUCUUUGCCGCAUCCGUGAAAUCCGAGGGUGUUC